This 350-nucleotide ribosomal RNA is filed under the name uncultured Subdoligranulum sp. Its description in RNAcentral is "bacterial SSU rRNA". It matches the Rfam family "Bacterial small subunit ribosomal RNA", at positions 790 to 1146 of the family's 1533-position model. Lineage: Bacteria; Bacillati; Bacillota; Clostridia; Eubacteriales; Oscillospiraceae. The record is from RNAcentral.
GUAGUCCAUGCCGUAAACGAUGAUUACUAGGUGUUGGGGGAUUGACCCCCUCAGUGCCGCAGUUAACACAAUAAGUAAUCCACCUGGGGAGUACGACCGCAAGGUUGAAACUCAAAGGAAUUGACGGGGGCCCGCACAAGCAGUGGAGUAUGUGGUUUAAUUCGAAGCAACGCGAAGAACCUUACCAGGUCUUGACAUCCGAUGCAUAGCACAGAGAUGUGUGAAAUCCUUCGGGACAUCGAGACAGGUGGUGCAUGGUUGUCGUCAGCUCGUGUCGUGAGAUGUUGGGUUAAGUCCCGCAACGAGCGCAACCCUUAUUGCCAGUUACUACGUUAAGAGGACUCUGGCGA